This 484-nucleotide ribosomal RNA is filed under the name uncultured bacterium. Its description in RNAcentral is "partial 16S ribosomal RNA". It matches the Rfam family "Bacterial small subunit ribosomal RNA", at positions 30 to 507 of the family's 1533-position model. The record is from RNAcentral.
AUUGAACGCUAGCGGGAUGCUUUACACAUGCAAGUCGAACGGCAGCGCGGACUUCGGUCUGGCGGCGAGUGGCGAACGGGUGAGUAAUGUAUCGGAACGUGCCCAGUAGCGGGGGAUAACUACGCGAAAGCGUAGCUAAUACCGCAUACGCCCUACGGGGGAAAGCAGGGGAUCGUAAGACCUUGCACUAUUGGAGCGGUCGAUAUCGGAUUAGCUAGUUGGUGAGGUAACGGCGCACCAAGGCGACGAUCCGUAGCUGGUUUGAGAGGACGACCAGCCACACUGGGACUGAGACACGGCCCAGACUCCUACGGGAGGCAGCAGUGGGGAAUUUUGGACAAUGGGGGCAACCCUGAUCCAGCCAUCCCGCGUGUGCGAUGAAGGCCUUCGGGUUGUAAAGCACUUUUGGCAGGAAAGAAACGUCGCGGGCUAAUACCCCGUGGAACUGACGGUACCUGCAGAAUAAGCACCGGCUAACUACGUG